This 430-nucleotide ribosomal RNA is filed under the name uncultured bacterium. RNAcentral describes it as "bacterial SSU rRNA". It matches the Rfam family "Bacterial small subunit ribosomal RNA", at positions 354 to 796 of the family's 1533-position model. The record is from RNAcentral.
GUGGGGAAUAUUGCACAAUGGGCGAAAGCCUGAUGCAGCGACGCCGCGUGAGGGAUGACGGCCUUCGGGUUGUAAACCUCUUUCAGCGGGGACGAAGGGCAACUGACGGUACCCGCAGAAGAAGCACCGGCUAACUACGUGCCAGCAGCCGCGGUAAUACGUAGGGUGCGAGCGUUGUCCGGAAUUAUUGGGCGUAAAGAGCUCGUAGGCGGUUUGUUGCGUCGGCUGUGAAAACUUCACGCUUAACGUGGAGCCUGCAGUCGAUACGGGCAGACUUGAGUUCGGCAGGGGAGACUGGAAUUCCUGGUGUAGCGGUGAAAUGCGCAGAUAUCAGGAGGAACACCGGUGGCGAAGGCGGGUCUCUGGGCCGAUACUGACGCUGAGGAGCGAAAGCGUGGGGAGCGAACAGGAUUAGAAACCCGGGUAGUCC